RNAcentral lists this ribosomal RNA (505 nucleotides) under uncultured bacterium. RNAcentral describes it as "bacterial SSU rRNA". It matches the Rfam family "Bacterial small subunit ribosomal RNA", at positions 28 to 507 of the family's 1533-position model. The record is from RNAcentral.
GAUGAACGCUAGCGACAGGCCUAACACAUGCAAGGUCAGGGGCAUCGGGACUAGCAAUACGUUGCCGGCGACCGGCGGAUGGGUGAGUAACGCGUAUGCAACCUACCCGUAGCAGGGGGAUAGCCCGUUGAAAGACGGAUUAAUACCCCGUAACACAGGGGCUCCGCAUGGAGAUUAUUGUUAAAGGGUCAUUUCUUUUAGAGGUGGUCCGGCUGCGGAUGGGCAUGCGUUCCAUUAGGUAGUUGGUGUAGGUAACGGCUCACCAAGCCGACGAUGGAUAGGGGAACUGAGAGGUUGGUCCCCCACACUGGUACUGAGACACGGACCAGACUCCUACGGGAGGCAGCAGUGAGGAAUCUUGGUCAAUGGACGCAAGUCUGAACCAGCCAUGUCGCGUGAAGGAGGACGGCCCUAAGGGUUGUAAACUUCUUUUGCAGCGGAAUAAAGUUUGCCACGAGUUGGCGAUUUGCAAGUACGCUGCGAAUAAGGAUCGGCUAACUCCGUG